This 340-nucleotide ribosomal RNA is filed under the name Wolbachia endosymbiont of Macrosiphum salviae. Its description in RNAcentral is "bacterial SSU rRNA". It matches the Rfam family "Bacterial small subunit ribosomal RNA", at positions 1039 to 1378 of the family's 1533-position model. The record is from RNAcentral. Lineage: Bacteria; Pseudomonadati; Pseudomonadota; Alphaproteobacteria; Rickettsiales; Anaplasmataceae.
UGUUGCAUGGCUGUCGUCAGCUCGUGUCGUGAGAUGUUGGGUUAAGUCCCGCAACGAGCGCAACCCUCAUCCUUAGUUGCCACCAGGUAAUGCUGAGUACUUUAAGGAAACUGCCAGUGAUAAGCUGGAGGAAGGUGGGGAUGAUGUCAAGUCAUCAUGGCCUUUAUGGAGUGGGCUACACACGUGCUACAAUGGUGUCUACAAUGGGUUGCAAGGUGCGCAAGCCUAAGCUAAUCCCUAAAAGACAUCUCAGUUCGGAUUGUACUCUGCAACUCGAGUACAUGAAGUUGGAAUCGCUAGUAAUCGUGGAUCAGCAUGCCACGGUGAAUACGUUCUCGGG